UACGUAGGUGGCAAGCGUUGUCCGGAAUUAUUGGGCGUAAAGCGCGCGCAGGCGGUCCUUUAAGUCUGAUGUGAAAGCCCACGGCUCAACCGUGGAGGGUCAUUGGAAACUGGGGGACUUGAGUACAGAAGAGAAGAGUGGAAUUCCACGUGUAGCGGUGAAAUGCGUAGAGAUGUGGAGGAACACCAGUGGCGAAGGCGACUCUUUGGUCUGUAACUGACGCUGAGGCGCGAAAGCGUGGGUAGCAAACGGG
This 253-nucleotide ribosomal RNA is filed under the name uncultured bacterium. Its description in RNAcentral is "partial 16S ribosomal RNA". It matches the Rfam family "Bacterial small subunit ribosomal RNA", at positions 524 to 776 of the family's 1533-position model. The record is from RNAcentral.